Molecule: unclassified non-coding RNA, 292 nt
Filed under: plant metagenome
Description: partial contains small subunit ribosomal RNA, internal transcribed spacer 1, and 5.8S ribosomal RNA
Source: RNAcentral
UUUCCGUAGGCGAACCUGCGGAAGGAUCAUUAUUGAAUAAACCUGAUGUGGUUGUAGCUGGCCCUUUCGGGAGCAUGUGCACACCCGUCGUCUUUAUCUUUCCACCUGUGCACCUUUUGUAGACCUGGAUGUAACACUUUCCGAGGCAACUCGGUCGGGAGGAAUGCUGUCAGCUUUCCUUGAAUGUCCAGGCCUAUGUUUUCAUAUACCCCAAAGUAUGUAACAGAGUGUAUUAUUGGGCCUUGUGCCUAUAAACUAUAUACAACUUUCAGCAACGGAUCUCUUGGCUCUC